RNAcentral lists this transfer RNA (68 nucleotides) under Fukomys damarensis (Damara mole-rat). It matches the Rfam family "tRNA". From Rfam's summary of the family: Transfer RNA (tRNA) molecules are approximately 80 nucleotides in length. Their secondary structure includes four short double-helical elements and three loops (D, anti-codon, and T loops). The record is from Rfam by way of RNAcentral. Lineage: Eukaryota; Metazoa; Chordata; Mammalia; Rodentia; Bathyergidae.
GGGGUAGCUCAGUGGUAGAGUACUUGCCUAUCAUGCAUGAAGCCUGGGUUCAAUUCCUAGUAACUUCU